Molecule: ribosomal RNA, 763 nt
Filed under: uncultured Hyphomicrobiales bacterium
Lineage: Bacteria; Pseudomonadati; Pseudomonadota; Alphaproteobacteria; Hyphomicrobiales
Description: bacterial SSU rRNA
Rfam family: Bacterial small subunit ribosomal RNA
Source: RNAcentral
AGAGUUUGAUCCUGGCUCAGGACGAACGCUGGCGGCGUGCUUAACACAUGCAAGUGGAGCGACGAACCGGGCUUCGGCCCGGGGCAGAGCCGCGAACGGGUGAGUAACACGUGGGUUACCUGCCCCGUUGACAGGGACAACCCGGGGAAACCCGGGCUAAUACCUGAUGUGCCCUUCGGGGGAAAGGAAGCUUCGGCCUCCGCAACGGGAUGGGCCCGCGGCGCAUUAGCUUGUUGGUGGGGUAACGGCCUACCAAGGCGACGAUGCGUAGCUGGUCUGAGAGGACGAUCAGCCACACUGGGACUGAGACACGGCCCAAACUCCUACGGGAGGCAGCAGUGGGGAAUAUUGGACAAUGGGCGCAAGCCUGAUCCAGCCAUACCGCGUGAGUGAUGAAGGCCUUAGGGUUGUAAAGCUCUUUCGGCGGGGACGAUAAUGACGGUACCCGCAGAAGAAGCCCCGGCUAACUUCGUGCCAGCAGCCGCGGUAAUACGAAGGGGGCUAGCGUUGUUCGGAAUCACUGGGCGUAAAGGGCGCGUAGGCGGCCUGAUAAGUCGGGGGUGAAAGCCUGUGGCUCAACCACAGAAUUGCCUUCGAUACUGUCGGGCUUGAGACCGGAAGAGGUAAGUGGAACUGCGAGUGUAGAGGUGAAAUUCGUAGAUAUUCGCAAGAACACCAGUGGCGAAGGCGGCUUACUGGUCCGGUUCUGACGCUGAGGCGCGAAAGCGUGGGGAGCAAACAGGAUUAGAUACCCCUGUAGUCC